GAUGAACGCUAGCGGCAGGCCUAAUACAUGCAAGUCGAACGAGAUUACGAGGCUUUCUUCUUAUGAAAGUUGGGCACGGGUGCGUAACUCGUAUGCAACCUACCUUAAUCUGGGGGAGAGCCCGAAUAAAUUCGGAUUAAGACCGCAUAAAAACACAGUAUAGCAUUAUCCAAUGUUCAAAUAUUUAGAGUAUUAAGAUGGGCAUGCGUGGCAUUAGCUAGUUGGCGGGGUAACGUCACAUCAAGGCGACGAUGACUAGGGGAUCUGAGAGGAUGACCCACCACACCGGUACUGAGACACGGACCAGACUGCUACGGGAGGCAGCAGUAAGGAAUAUUGGUGACUGGAGGGUACUCUGAACAAGCCAUGCCGCGUGCAGGAAGACAGCCCUCUGGGUCGUAAACUGCUUUUAAUCGGGAAUAAACCUUUCUACGUGUAGGAAGCUGAAUGUACCGAAGGAAUAAGGAUCGGCUAACUCCGUG
Molecule: ribosomal RNA, 482 nt
Filed under: uncultured bacterium
Lineage: Bacteria
Description: partial 16S ribosomal RNA
Rfam family: Bacterial small subunit ribosomal RNA
Source: RNAcentral